Molecule: ribosomal RNA, 463 nt
Filed under: uncultured bacterium
Lineage: Bacteria
Description: partial 16S ribosomal RNA
Rfam family: Bacterial small subunit ribosomal RNA
Source: RNAcentral
CCUACGUGUGGCAGCAGUAGGGAAUUUUCGUCAAUGGGCGCAAGCCUGAACGAGCAAUGCCGCGUGAACGAGGAAGGUCUUCGGAUCGUAAAGCUCUGUUGAAGGGGAAAAAGAGCGGAGAGAGGAAAUGCUUUCUGAUUGAUAUUACCCUUCGAGGAAGUCACGGCUAACUACGUGCCAGCAGCCGCGGGAAUACGUAGGUGGCGAGCGUUAUCCGGAAUGAUUGGGCGAAAUGGGUGCGUAGGCGGCCUGCUAAGUCUGGAGUGAAAGGUCCGGCUCAACCGGUACAGGCCAUGGAAACUGGCGGGCUAGAGUGCAGGAGAGGUCGGUGGAACUCGAGGUGUAGCGGUAAAAUGCGUAGAUAUAUGGAAGAACACCAGUGGCGAAGGCGGCAGGCUGGCCUGUUACUGACGCUGAGGCACGAAAGCGUGGGGAGCAAAUAGGAUUAGAUACCCCUGUAGUC